GUAGGGGGACACGCUUCAUAGAACAUGGCCCAUUUUAUCUCAGAUGGAGACAUACGUCUAUAUAAAGGGCUGAAGUAACUGCGGAGGUUAGGUAUUCAUUCAGUCAUAGCUGCAGAGGUGUGUUUGCACAUUCACAAGCAUAUUGUGGCUAGAGGAAUGGGAAUAAAGAUGCUUUUGCUGUUCUGUGUAUUGGCAUUCACUGGCCAAGGGCAAGGGGUUCCUGAAACUGAUGUACAAAGUUCAGGUGUCAGUGAAACUACAGUGAAGGACCCAGGGAGAGUUGGAGACCAGAUCAACCCCCCCAGACACCAUGACAGACUGUGUGCAUGUAAGGGGAGGAGGAGAGAGGGUUUGAGUGGAGGCUGCCUCUGCCAGGAGUCUGCCAAAUCCUACCGCAAGCCCAGGAAGGCCUUUGUGGAAAUGUGCCUAAGGAAAGGAUUCCAGAAUCAGUGGAAAUGCCAGAAGAUCAUGGAAAGAGUAGAGAGGUCAAAGGGUAGCCUAGGCAAAAACUUCAUGAGUAUUCCAAUUUAAAGAGUUGAUCUUUAAUAACUUCUGUAUUAACCUUGUAACCAUGUUUUGUAAUCUCAUGUUGCUCGCUCAAGAACCAUGACUGUUUUUCUUUUUUUUAAAUAUGAUAUAAUUAUACUCCUUUGAAAUACACAUUUUUAAAAACAAGUUUCACUAUGUGUGUGGAUUAGUUUCCAAGUUUUAGCAUUAGAUUUCCUAUUUCCUUUUGCAUGUUUUGUGCCACUCUAAAUCCCUCUGUUACUGCUUCAUUAAAUCCACAUUUCUUCACAGCGAUUUUGCAGAUAAAGAAAUCAACCAAGAUUGCACCAUUCAGUAGGACAUCGUUGAAAAGACAAAGAUGAAUUUAAGACAAUAAUUAAUGAAGAGGAAAUAUGAACAUACGACAACCCGUGUUUUACAUAAACACCAGUUUAAUGUAUUAUCGUUUUGAAACAUUUUACCUUUAAGGUAUUUAUAAGGUAAAUAAACCUGAAUUUGUACUUGAA
Oncorhynchus masou masou (cherry salmon) is the source of this 1013-nucleotide long non-coding RNA. RefSeq lists it as uncharacterized. NCBI's taxonomy places the organism in Eukaryota, Metazoa, Chordata, Actinopteri, Salmoniformes, Salmonidae. The transcript has 4 exons. The record is from RefSeq and is a predicted model, not a curated record.